ACCUCGAAGGACGUUAUCCCGCUUAUCACCCGGUUGCCACUAUAGGCAAUAGUCAUGCCUUUAUAGCACGCAAAGGAAACAAGCGGUUCCAUUUAAAAAGAAGCCGAAUUGUUUUACAACUUUAUUUGG
Long non-coding RNA from Alosa sapidissima (American shad), 129 nucleotides. RefSeq lists it as uncharacterized. The record is from RefSeq and is a predicted model, not a curated record. Lineage: Eukaryota; Metazoa; Chordata; Actinopteri; Clupeiformes; Clupeidae. The transcript has 3 exons.